This 468-nucleotide ribosomal RNA is filed under the name uncultured bacterium. RNAcentral's name for it is "partial 16S ribosomal RNA". It matches the Rfam family "Bacterial small subunit ribosomal RNA", at positions 28 to 507 of the family's 1533-position model. The record is from RNAcentral.
GACGAACGCUGGCGGCGUGCUUAACACAUGCAAGUCGAACGGAAAGGCCCUGCUACUGUGGUUUGCUUGAGUGGCGAACGGGUAAGUAACAAGUAAGUAACCUGCCCUGGGCUUUGGGAUAACUUCAGGAAACUUGAUCUAAUACCGGAUAGGAGCCCCUGGUGCAUGUUGGGGGUUGGAAAGUUUCGGCGGUUGGGGAUGGACUCGCGGCUUAUCAGCUUGUUGGUGGGGUAGUGGCUUACCAAGGCUUUGACGGGUAGCCGGCCUGAGGGGGUGACCGGCCACAUUGGGACGGCGAUGACGCCCAGAAGACUACGGCGGGCAGCAGUGGGGAAUAUUGCACAGUGGGGGGAAGCAUGAUGCAGCAACGCCGCGUGCGGGAUGACGGCCGUCGGGUUGUAAACCGCUUUCGCCCGUGACGAAGAGUGAGUGACGGUAAUGGGUAAAGAAGCACCGGCUAACUACGUG